AUGCGGCGUCCAGGGCCGGUCCUCUGCGCGGCGCUGGCCGUCGCGCUCCUGGCCCCGCUUCCGCCCGCGGCGAUCGCGGCAGAUUGUCCGUUGGAUUUCAGUUGGCCAAACUUUGCGCUGAUAGCUUCUGUAUGCUCGGAUCAGAAUGGCCACUCAAAGUGUUGCCGCUAUAUCAAUGCCGUCCUCGCGGUCUCUUCUGCAAUGUAUGCGAACACAACAGGCACUCUUGGGGUUCCAUCUGAACUUGCCGAUGCCUGUAUUAGCAAUAUCUCAGACACCUUCGUGUCCAAUGGGAUACUUCCUACUGCAGCUUCGUUUUGUGGCCUCGGGAUCAAGAUUCAGGCGUCCUAUCAGUGCGUUGGGAUGACUACUAUCCUCCAAAUGUUACAGUCUCCGAAUUUCAGUGAUGUGACUAGAAAUUGUGCAACCUCACUUCCAGAUGACGUCAGCUGCAAGAGAUGCUUAAAUUCUGGUUUGUCAUACCUCCGCCAUCUUGUGGGGGAACAAGAUAAUGUCACAUUGAAUACCUGCCGUGACGCUGCCUUUGUUGCUUUUGUGAGUCAAGGGAACAUAUCUACUCUUGAUACGGCGGGUUGCUUUUUCAGCGUUCAGGGGCUGAGUGCUCUUCAAGUGAACAUCUCGACAUCAUCCCCAGCUGGAUAUCCUGCACCAAAUAUUUCUCCCAGUCCAUUUGCAUCGCAAAUUCCUGGGGAACAUGUUGCUGAAGUGCCAUCCAACCAUCAUCGUAGUUACAAGCGUGUACUAUUCCCUGCUAUCGGGGCCUUGGUUACAGGAUUAUCAGUUACACUACUGGUAGUACUGAUUUUACUUAUCCGGAGAAAGUGCAAAGAACUAGAAAAGAUUGAGGGAAUUAACCCUUUGAAAGUGUUGAGUUCCUGUGUCACGAAGGGCCAAGAAGGUACUUCCACCAUUUUUGGCAGAUUUAGUUAUGCAGAAAUGAGAAGGGCAACAAGAAACUUUAGCACCACGCUGGGAGGGAAUGAUAAUGCAACAAUAUUCAAAGGACAACUGAGCAAUGGUUCUGUGGUUGCCAUUAAGCGCAUAGAGAGCUCACCAAAACAAGAUCAGCUGGCAUUCUGCAAAGAAAUGGAAUUUCUUGGGCGUCUGCAUCAUCGACAUCUUGUUGGACUUAAAGGAUAUUGUUUAACAAAAUUUGAGAGGUUCCAGGUUUAUGAAUACAUGGAAAAUGGAAGCCUUAAGGAUCACCUUCAUUCGUCAGGUAAACUUCUGCUGCCGUGGAAAAAUAGGAUCCAAAUCGCUAUUGAUGUUGCGAAUGCUUUGGAGUACCUUCAUUUCUAUUGUGAUCCUCCAUUGUACCAUGGAGACAUAAAGCCUAGCAAUGUCCUCCUGGACAAGAAUUAUCUCGCAAAGCUUGCUGGGUGUGGCUGCUCAAAUGGUGGCAAUACCAUCGUCAGUUCCACCCCAGGGACUGUCAAGAUCCAGGCAACUCCUGUACCGUGCGUAUAUCUCCGUGCAGGGUACGUAGACCCCGAUUACGUGGUGACCCAGGAGCUGACGGCCAAGAGCGACGUGUACAGCUACGGCGUGCUGCUGCUGGAGCUCGUCACCGGGAGGCCCGUGGUGCAGGACGACCGGAGCCUCGUGGAGUGGUCCCGCGAGCUCAUCGGCACCGACUACCGCCUCCACGAGCUGGUGGACCCGGCGGUGGCGGACACGUUCGACCUGGACGAGCUGCAGGUGAUGGCGGACGUGAUCCACUGGUGCACCCACAAGGACGGCGGGGCGCGGCCGUCGAUGAAGCAGGUCCUCCGGAUCCUCUACGAGCGGCUGGACCCGCUGUCCGGCGGGUUCGCGCGCGCCGUGGAGGUCGAGCAGGGGUACUACUACGGCGGGCAGAGCGGGAGGAAGGCGAAAGAGUGGCAGCAGCGGCCGCGGGAUGGCGGCGGAGACGUGAUCCAGUUCAGCGGCGAGCCAAGGUGCCUGCCGUCGUCGUCCAGCACGUCCAGGUCCCACUGCAGCCGCACCGUGCCGCUGGAGGGCAACUCGCCGGAGCCCCAGUCGCCAGCCCACGCCGACCGCGGCGGGUUCUUCGCCUGA
RNAcentral lists this ribosomal RNA (2079 nucleotides) under Triticum aestivum (bread wheat). RNAcentral's name for it is "partial small subunit ribosomal RNA". Lineage: Eukaryota; Viridiplantae; Streptophyta; Magnoliopsida; Poales; Poaceae. The record is from RNAcentral.